RNAcentral lists this ribosomal RNA (1372 nucleotides) under uncultured bacterium. RNAcentral's name for it is "bacterial SSU rRNA". It matches the Rfam family "Bacterial small subunit ribosomal RNA", at positions 28 to 1381 of the family's 1533-position model. The record is from RNAcentral.
GAUGAACGCUGGCGGCGUGCCUAAUACAUGCAAGUCGAGCGAACGGACGAGAAGCUUGCUUCUCUGAUGUUAGCGGCGGACGGGUGAGUAACACGUGGAUCACCUACCUAUAAGACUGGGAUAACUUCGGGAAACCGGAGCUAAUACCGGAUAAUAUUUUGAACCGCAUGGUUCAAAAGUGAAAGACGGUCUUGCUGUCACUUAUAGAUGGAUCCGCGCUGCAUUAGCUAGUUGGUAAGGUAACGGCUUACCAAGGCAACGAUGCAUAGCCGACCUGAGAGGGUGAUCGGCCACACUGGAACUGAGACACGGUCCAGACUCCUACGGGAGGCAGCAGUAGGGAAUCUUCCGCAAUGGGCGAAAGCCUGACGGAGCAACGCCGCGUGAGUGAUGAAGGUCUUCGGAUCGUAAAACUCUGUUAUUAGGGAAGAACAUAUGUGUAAGUAACUGUGCACAUCUUGACGGUACCUAAUCAGAAAGCCACGGCUAACUACGUGCCAGCAGCCGCGGUAAUACGUAGGUGGCAAGCGUUAUCCGGAAUUAUUGGGCGUAAAGCGCGCGUAGGCGGUUUUUUAAGUCUGAUGUGAAAGCCCACGGCUCAACCGUGGAGGGUCAUUGGAAACUGGAAAACUUGAGUGCAGAAGAGGAAAGUGGAAUUCCAUGUGUAGCGGUGAAAUGCGCAGAGAUAUGGAGGAACACCAGUGGCGAAGGCGACUUUCUGGUCUGUAACUGACGCUGAUGUGCGAAAGCGUGGGGAUCAAACAGGAUUAGAUACCCUGGUAGUCCACGCCGUAAACGAUGAGUGCUAAGUGUUAGGGGGUUUCCGCCCCUUAGUGCUGCAGCUAACGCAUUAAGCACUCCGCCUGGGGAGUACGACCGCAAGGUUGAAACUCAAAGGAAUUGACGGGGACCCGCACAAGCGGUGGAGCAUGUGGUUUAACUCGAAGCAACGCGAAGAACCUUACCAAAUCUUGACAUCCUUUGACAACUCUAGAGAUAGAGCCUUCCCCUUCGGGGGACAAAGUGACAGGUGGUGCAUGGUUGUCGUCAGCUCGUGUCGUGAGAUGUUGGGUUAAGUCCCGCAACGAGCGCAACCCUUAAGCUUAGUUGCCAUCAUUAAGUUGGGCACUCUAAGUUGACUGCCGGUGACAAACCGGAGGAAGGUGGGGAUGACGUCAAAUCAUCAUGCCCCUUAUGAUUUGGGCUACACACGUGCUACAAUGGACAAUACAAAGGGCAGCGAAACCGCGAGGUCAAGCAAAUCCCAUAAAGUUGUUCUCAGUUCGGAUUGUAGUCUGCAACUCGACUACAUGAAGCUGGAAUCGCUAGUAAUCGUAGAUCAGCAUGCUACGGUGAAUACGUCCCCGGGUCU